This 120-nucleotide ribosomal RNA is filed under the name uncultured bacterium. RNAcentral describes it as "partial 16S ribosomal RNA". It matches the Rfam family "Bacterial small subunit ribosomal RNA", at positions 1386 to 1501 of the family's 1533-position model. The record is from RNAcentral.
CACACCGCCCGUCACACCAUGGGAGUUGGUUCUACCCGAAGACGGUGCGUCAACCUCGCAAGAGGAGACAGCCGGCCACGGUAGGGUCAGCGACUGGGGCGAAGUCGUAACAAGGUACCC